UGGGGGAUAUUGCACAAUGGGCGAAAGCCUGAUGCAGCGACGCCGCGUGGGGGAUGAAGGCCUUCGGGUUGUAAACUUCUUUUGCUCUGAACAAGGCAUGCUAAUGGGUGUGUUGAGUGUAGGGGUUGAUUAGCGCCGGCUAACUACGUGCCAGCAGCCGCGGUAAUACGUUGGGCGCGAGCGUUGUCCGGAAUUAUUGGGCGUAAAGGGCUUGUAGGUGGCUGGUUGCGUCUGUCGUGAAAGCUCAUGGCUUAACUGUGGGUUUGCGGUGGGUACGGGCUGGCUUGAGUGCAGUAGGGGAGGCUGGAAUUCCUGGUGUAGCGGUGGAAUGCGCAGAUAUCAGGAGGAAUACCGGUGGCGAAGGCGGGUCUCUGGGCUGUUACUGACACUGAGGAGCGAAAGCAUGGGGAGCGAACAGG
This 419-nucleotide ribosomal RNA is filed under the name bacterium. Its description in RNAcentral is "partial 16S ribosomal RNA". It matches the Rfam family "Bacterial small subunit ribosomal RNA", at positions 355 to 776 of the family's 1533-position model. The record is from RNAcentral.